RNAcentral lists this small nuclear RNA (291 nucleotides) under Pogona vitticeps (central bearded dragon). Its description in RNAcentral is "7SK RNA (ENSPVIG00000015248.1)". It matches the Rfam family "7SK RNA". From Rfam's summary of the family: 7SK was discovered as an abundant small nuclear RNA in the mid-70s but a possible function has only recently been suggested. Two independent studies have found that 7SK RNA binds the CDK9/cyclin T complex (known as elongation factor P-TEFb). P-TEFb activates transcription by phosphorylating the C-terminal domain of RNA polymerase II. The record is from Rfam by way of RNAcentral. Lineage: Eukaryota; Metazoa; Chordata; Lepidosauria; Squamata; Agamidae.
GGUUGCAGGUUGAUCUGGCUAUGACAUUUGUCACCUUGUUGUCAGCACUGAUUCAGCUGGUCUGAAGAGCUAGGCGGGUGUCCCCUCUUCCUUCACCAGUCCAGUGCAUUCCUCCCAAAGCGGCAUAUUCUGUGGAAGGGGAUGACCAUCAGAAAUACUGUAGAAGGAAUAUAUUGUUCUUUGGUCAAGGGUAUAUGAGAGCUGCACUGGUUCCAUACCAUGUAGCAUACAUCAUUUACAGUAUAUCGAUUCAGAGAAAAGAUUGCAGGAGAGCCGCUUACCUCUGUAAGU